AUACGGAGGGUGCAAGCGUUGUUCGGAAUCACUGGGCGUAAAGGGCGCGCAGGCGGUUUGAUUAGUCAGAUGUGAAAGCCCACGGCUUAACCGUGGAAGUGCAUUUGAAACUGUCAGACUUGAGUAUCGGAGGGGAAAGUGGAAUUCCCGGUGUAGAGGUGAAAUUCGUAGAUAUCGGGAGGAAUACCGGUGGCGAAGGCGACUUUCUGGCUGAAUACUGACGCUGAGGCGCGAAAGCGUGGGGAGCAAACAGAAUUAGAUACCCCGGUAGUCC
This 274-nucleotide ribosomal RNA is filed under the name uncultured bacterium. Its description in RNAcentral is "partial 16S ribosomal RNA". It matches the Rfam family "Bacterial small subunit ribosomal RNA", at positions 523 to 796 of the family's 1533-position model. The record is from RNAcentral.